UACGGAGGGUGCAAGCGUUGUCCGGAUUUAUUGGGUUUAAAGGGUGCGUAGGCGGCCUUAUAAGUCAGUGGUGAAAUACUUCGGCUCAACCGAAGAGGUGCCAUUGAUACUGUAGGGCUUGAGUACAGACGAGGUAGGCGGAAUUUAUGGUGUAGCGGUGAAAUGCUUAGAUAUCGUCAAGAACACCUAUAGCGAAGGCAGCUUACUAGGCUGUAACUGACGCUGAGGCACGAAAGUGUGGGGAUCAAACAGG
RNAcentral lists this ribosomal RNA (253 nucleotides) under uncultured bacterium. RNAcentral's name for it is "partial 16S ribosomal RNA". It matches the Rfam family "Bacterial small subunit ribosomal RNA", at positions 524 to 776 of the family's 1533-position model. The record is from RNAcentral.